GACGAACGCUGGCGGCGUGCUUAACACAUGCAAGUCGAGCGGUAAGGCCCUUUCGGGGUACGACGAGCGGCGAACGGGUGAGUAACACGUGGGUGACCUGCCCUCAGCUCUGGGAUAAGCCUGGGAAACCGGGUCUAAUACCGGAUAUGACUCCAUGACGCAUGUUGUGGGGUGGAAAGCCUUGUGCGGCUGAGGAUGGGCCCGCGGCCUAUCAGCUUGUUGGUGGGGUGAGGCCUACCAAGGCGACGACGGGUAGCCGGCCUGAGAGGGCGACCGGCCACACUGGGACUGAGACACGGCCCAGACUCCUACGGGAGGCAGCAGUGGGGAAUCUUGCGCAAUGGGCGAAAGCCUGACGCAGCGACGCCGCGUGA
RNAcentral lists this ribosomal RNA (374 nucleotides) under uncultured bacterium. RNAcentral's name for it is "bacterial SSU rRNA". It matches the Rfam family "Bacterial small subunit ribosomal RNA", at positions 28 to 404 of the family's 1533-position model. The record is from RNAcentral.